This 250-nucleotide ribosomal RNA is filed under the name uncultured bacterium. RNAcentral describes it as "partial 16S ribosomal RNA". It matches the Rfam family "Bacterial small subunit ribosomal RNA", at positions 807 to 1058 of the family's 1533-position model. The record is from RNAcentral.
CGAUGAAUGCUAGCCGUUGGGGUGCAUGCACCUCAGUGGCGCCGCUAACGCUUUAAGCAUUCCGCCUGGGGAGUACGGUCGCAAGAUUAAACUCAAAGGAAUUGACGGGGGCCCGCACAAGCGGUGGAGCAUGUGGUUUAAUUCGAAGCAACGCGCAGAACCUUACCAUCCCUUGACAUGGCAUGCGAACCGGAGAGACCCGGUGUUCCCUUCGGGGACGUGCACACAGGUGCUGCAUGGCUGUCGUCAG